AGUGAACGCUGGCGGUAGGCCUAACACAUGCAAGUCGAACGGCAGCACAGUAAGAGCUUGCUCUUACGGGUGGCGAGUGGCGGACGGGUGAGGAAUACAUCGGAAUCUACUUUUUCGUGGGGAUAACGUAGGGAAACUUACGCUAAUACCGCAUACGACCUACGGGUGAAAGCAGGGGAUCUUCGGACCUUGCGCGAUUGAAUGAGCCGAUGUCGGAUUAGCUAGUUGGCGGGGUAAAGGCCCACCAAGGCGACGAUCCGUAGCUGGUCUGAGAGGAUGAUCAGCCACACUGGAACUGAGACACGGUCCAGACUCCUACGGGAGGCAGCAGUGGGGAAUAUUGGACAAUAGGCGCAAGCCUGAUCCAGCCAUACCGCGUGGGUGAAGAAGGCCUUCGGGUUGUAAAGCCCUUUUGUUGGGAAAGAAAAGCAGCAGGUUAAUACCCCGCUGUUCUGACGGUACCCAAAGAAUAAGCACCGGCUAACUUCGUG
Molecule: ribosomal RNA, 491 nt
Filed under: uncultured bacterium
Lineage: Bacteria
Description: partial 16S ribosomal RNA
Rfam family: Bacterial small subunit ribosomal RNA
Source: RNAcentral